Molecule: long non-coding RNA, 434 nt
Filed under: Prunus dulcis (almond)
Lineage: Eukaryota; Viridiplantae; Streptophyta; Magnoliopsida; Rosales; Rosaceae
Description: sRNA ncRNA
Source: RNAcentral
UUAUUAAUCUUAAGAAAAAGAAGUUAAAUAAAGCUAAAUGGCAAAAUUUAAAUUUUAAAAAUAAAUAAAUGUGAGAAGAUAACAAUGAAUGCAAAGAAAACAACUAUUCAGAUUUGUCCCAUUCCAUUUGCACACUACAUAAGAUAACAAAACCUUUCUUUUUCAAAAAUUAACUCUCUUUUCCUUUCUUCUACUUCUGCCUCUUCUUCUUGUCUUUACUUCACUUGAUUGGGGGUCUUGCCUAUGGUCAUUGUAUUUAAUUAGGGUGUUGGUUUUAUUUCUUUUGCUUCUAAAUGUGUAGUGCAGAAGCAUGAUAAUGAUAUAUACUUUCUGAUCAUAUAAUCAAGAACAAUGGGACACAUUCUAUAAUUCCAGCUGAAACGGAGACAAAGAAGGGGUACCAUGGAAGUCACCUUACUCCACCACCAGUCCAU